CCUGUUUAGGCAGGACGGAAUGUGGCCGCCUCGCGGCUGAACCACCCA
Molecule: non-coding RNA, 48 nt
Organism: Halorhabdus tiamatea SARL4B
Lineage: Archaea; Methanobacteriati; Methanobacteriota; Halobacteria; Halobacteriales; Haloarculaceae
Source: Rfam